Molecule: transfer RNA, 75 nt
Filed under: Ignavibacteriota bacterium
Lineage: Bacteria; Pseudomonadati; Ignavibacteriota
Also listed under: 1 other name
Description: tRNA-Glu
Rfam family: tRNA
About the family: Transfer RNA (tRNA) molecules are approximately 80 nucleotides in length. Their secondary structure includes four short double-helical elements and three loops (D, anti-codon, and T loops).
Source: RNAcentral
GGCGCGUUCGUCUAGUGGCUUAGGACGCCGCCCUCUCAAGGCGGAGAUCGCGGGUUCGAAUCCCGCACGCGCUAC